RNAcentral lists this ribosomal RNA (590 nucleotides) under uncultured bacterium. RNAcentral describes it as "partial 16S ribosomal RNA". It matches the Rfam family "Bacterial small subunit ribosomal RNA", at positions 355 to 1375 of the family's 1533-position model. The record is from RNAcentral.
UGGGGAAUUUUGGACAAUGGGCGAAAGCCUGAUCCAGCAAUGCCGCGUGUGUGAAGAAGGCCUUCGGGUUGUAAAGCACUUUUGUCCGGAAAGAAAUCCUUGGCUCUAAUACAGUCGGGGGAUGACGGUACCGGAAGAAUAAGCACCGGCUAACUACGUGCCAGCAGCCGCGGUAAUACGUAGGGUGCAAGCGUUAAUCGGAAUUACUGGGCGUAAAGCGUGCGCAGGCGGUUUGCUAAGACCGAUGUGAAAUCCCCGGGCUCAACCUGGGAACUGCAUUGGUGACUGGCAGGCUAGAGUAUGGCAGAGGGGGGUAGAAUUCCACGUGUAGCAGUGAAAUGCGUAGAGAUGUGGAGGAAUACCGAUGGCGAAGGCAGCCCCCUGGGCCAAUACUGACGCUCAUGCACGAAAGCGUGGGGAGCAAAACAGGAUUAGAUACCCUGGUAGUCCACGCCCUAAAACGAUGUCAACUAGUUGUUGGGGAUUCAUUUCCUUAGUAACGUAGCUAACGCGUGAAGUUGACCGCCUGGGGGAGUACGGUCGCAAAGAUUAAAAACUCAAAGGAAUUGACGGGGUCAUAGCUGUUUCCU